UAUUUUAAAAUGGACAAAAUAAACUAGGUAGGCAGCUGGUGCCUGCUUACCACUGAUCAAGGACAAACCCAAAAGUAUUCUCCACAAGGGAGCGGAGCCACGGGGGC
Sapajus apella (tufted capuchin) is the source of this 107-nucleotide long non-coding RNA. RefSeq lists it as uncharacterized. NCBI's taxonomy places the organism in Eukaryota, Metazoa, Chordata, Mammalia, Primates, Cebidae. The transcript is spliced from 3 exons. The record is from RefSeq and is a predicted model, not a curated record.